UUUACAAUUGGCCAAAACUGAAGUCUGCAUUGACUGAAAUGAAGCCAUUUGCAAAGCUAAUGAUGUUGUGAAGCAUGUCUAUGGUGAACCAUAUCAGCUAGAUUUCAGAAAGGUAGUUCAAUGAGUGCAGCAUUAAAAUGAGGGACAGCCUCCAGCAAAAUCAUAAUUGAACACACCCAAGUCCUUAAUGUCUGCAGUUGGGUUUCCUGAUGCAAAUUACGAUAACAUUUCAGAUGUGAGCAGUCGCUUUCCAAUAGCUGCAGUGGAAAAGAGACAUUUUAUGCCACAAAGGAAAGAAUUACCAUGUUUAAAAAUGUAAAUAAUAUAUGUAUAGAAACCUUUUUUAUGGAAAUGAGGCAUUCAGGAUUAUGUGAACAGUUUGGGCUAUUUUUUUUUUCCUUUUAAACACAACAGAUAAAGAUGAGUGAUCUAUUAUUCAGGGCUUUAAUUACAGUUCUAAAACUGCAGUGAUUUUAUUAAAAAAAAAAAAAAAAUAUCCCUGGGCAUAAAAAGUGAUGUUUUCUAUGGUAAAGUUGAGGGAUUUUUUUUGUUUUUUUGUUUUUACAAUAUAUUUACCUUGGUAAAAAUACAGAAAUAAAAACCACCAUUACAAGAAUCAUAGAUUUCAAUGCUGCAAAAUCAUACACAGAAAUACAUCUUAAACGCAUUGGAAUGCAGUCAUCUUCCUGUAUCAGAAAAGGCCUUAGAUAAAUAGGUUUGACCUGAUUUAAAUUUAAUGAGAUACAUAGUCCUGAUUGUUAAUAAUUGGUUUGGGGGAACCCAAAACAAUAAAAGCAGUAAUCUCCUCUAGUAUAAAUUAUACGAAUUUAUUUAGCAAUCAUCAACCAAAGGAGGAAAAAAAAAAUGCCAUUAACAUUAUCAAUUUGUUUAGUUUAAGUUAGUUAUAAUAAGCAAAUAAUUUGAAGCAAUAUUGCCAGCCUGGCUUUGAGAAAGACAGGGAAUAUUGGGAAGAUGCAUCUCUGUGCUGAUGCUUCGGGGCCACUAGGUGGUAGGGUCCUCCCAGCAGAAAGGGUUCUGCCAUUGCAGGGACCAUUCGUAAUCAUCAAACCCAAGUGAAACAUGGUUUUGAUUAAAACAGCCUGUUGGCUCAAUAAUCUUAGUAAUUUUAAAAACAUCCUUAAUGUGGAAGAAGAACACUGCAAUGUCAGAAAUGGCCUUGGGGCCCAUUAUGAACAGCAACAAAAUAAAUAAGGAGGAGAAAUGAGAGGUCAUGAAGACAAAAUUAAGCUAAUGUUUCAAAGUUUGACAAUUAUGAAUUGUUCCUCCAAGAAGAUAUUAAAAAAAAUAAUAAUUCAGGCACUAUUAGAUAAAAUACAAAGAGAAUAAUUGUACAUGUAUGAGUUUUCCCAUGGGACUAGCAUGCUUUAAAAGCAAAACUUGACUUAGAUUUCCCCUCUUCCCCCCGCCCCCCUUUAUAGCCAGCAAUUGGGCAGGUCUCAUGCAAACACAGACUUGCAUUUCAGAGUUCCUCCAAAAACUCAUCUCUAAUUCCUUUAUGAGCCAUUAAAAGAUGAUGACCAAGAAAACAAACAAACAGAAAUUACAAGCAUAUUUUCUAUUAAAAAAAAAAAGUAUUUCCCGUCAUGAACCAAUUUUUGUAGGAAACCGAAACAAGCAAAUAUAACAAAAUCUGUGUUCAGAACAUGGCAAUAGAGUUAAUAUAUACAAAUAUGUACAGUAUAAAAAUGCAUCAAAGGCGCGACUUUUCAUCCAAACAAGCUGCAGUACACAAUGAAAAGCAGCUUGCCCCCCCCCUCACUCUAAGUAUACAGGCAAUAUAUUCUAUACAGCAUGCACUUGUUACAA
This 1827-nucleotide long non-coding RNA is filed under the name Strigops habroptila (Kakapo). RNAcentral describes it as "lncRNA (ENSSHBG00005006477.1)". The record is from RNAcentral. Lineage: Eukaryota; Metazoa; Chordata; Aves; Psittaciformes; Psittacidae.